UAAUACAGAGGGUGCAAGCGUUAAUCGGAAUUACUGGGCGUAAAGCGCGCGUAGGCGGUUGUAUAAGUUGGAGGUGAAAUCCCCGGGCUCAACCUGGGAAUUGCCUUCAAAACUGUACGGCUAGAGUGUGGGAGAGGAAGGUAGAAUUCCAGGUGUAGCGGUGAAAUGCGUAGAUAUCUGGAGGAAUACCGAUGGCGAAGGCAGCCUUCUGGCCUAACACUGACGCUGAGGUGCGAAAGCAUGGGGAGCAAACAGGAUUAGAUACCCUGGUAGUCCAUGCCGUAAACGAUGUCUACUAGCCGUUGGGGGACUUGAUCCUUUAGUGGCGCAGCUAACGCAUUAAGUAGACCGCCUGGGGAGUACGGUCGCAAGACUAAAACUCAAAUGAAUUGACGGGGGCCCGCACAAGCGGUGGAGCAUGUGGUUUAAUUCGAUGCAACGCGAAGAACCUUACCUGGCCUUGACAUGUCCGGAACCCUGCAGAGACGCGGGGGUGCCUUCGGGAAUCGGAACAC
Molecule: ribosomal RNA, 515 nt
Filed under: uncultured Perlucidibaca sp.
Lineage: Bacteria; Pseudomonadati; Pseudomonadota; Gammaproteobacteria; Pseudomonadales; Perlucidibacaceae
Description: bacterial SSU rRNA
Rfam family: Bacterial small subunit ribosomal RNA
Source: RNAcentral